This 106-nucleotide non-coding RNA is filed under the name Brevibacillus laterosporus. RNAcentral's name for it is "SAM-I sequence". It matches the Rfam family "SAM riboswitch aptamer (S box leader)". From Rfam's summary of the family: The SAM riboswitch is found upstream of a number of genes which code for proteins involved in methionine or cysteine biosynthesis in Gram-positive bacteria. Lineage: Bacteria; Bacillati; Bacillota; Bacilli; Caryophanales; Paenibacillaceae. The record is from RNAcentral. RNAcentral also lists the same sequence under 1 other name.
UUCUUAUCAAGAGAGGCGGAGGGACUGGCCCUUUGAUGCCUCGGCAGCGGACUCGUAUUUAGAGUGCUGUGCCAAAUCCAGCAAGCAUGUGCUUGAAAGAUGAGAA